CCCUGUACAGGGGGAUAACAGCUGAAAACGGCUGCUAAUACCGCAUAAGCGCACGAGGAGACAUCUCCUAGUGUGAAAAACUCCGGUGGUACAGGAUGGGCCCGCGUCUGAUUAGCUGGUUGGCAGGGUAACGGCCUACCAAGGCAACGAUCAGUAGCCGGUCUGAGAGGAUGAACGGCCACAUUGGAACUGAGACACGGUCCAAACUCCUACGGGAGGCAGCAGUGGGGAAUAUUGCACAAUGGGGGAAACCCUGAUGCAGCAACGCCGCGUGAGUGAAGAAGUAUUUCGGUAUGUAAAGCUCUAUCAGCAGGGAAGAUAAUGACGGUACCUGACUAAGAAGCUCCGGCUAAAUACGUGCCAGCAGCCGCGGUAAUACGUAUGGAGCAAGCGUUAUCCGGAUUUACUGGGUGUAAAGGGUGCGUAGGUGGCAGUGCAAGUCAGAUGUGAAAGGCCGGGGCUCAACCCCGGAGCUGCAUUUGAAACUGCUCGGCUAGAGUACAGGAGAGGCAGGCGGAAUUCCUAGUGUAGCGGUGAAAUGCGUAGAUAUUAGGAGGAACACCAGUGGCGAAAGCGGCCUGCUGGACUGUUACUGACACUGAGGCACGAAAGCGUGGGGAGCAAACAGGAUUAGAUACCCUGGUAGUCCACGCCGCAAACGAUGAAUACUAGGUGUCGGGGCCGUAUAGGCUUCGGUG
RNAcentral lists this ribosomal RNA (698 nucleotides) under uncultured bacterium. Its description in RNAcentral is "bacterial SSU rRNA". It matches the Rfam family "Bacterial small subunit ribosomal RNA", at positions 129 to 845 of the family's 1533-position model. The record is from RNAcentral.